This 2180-nucleotide ribosomal RNA is filed under the name Escherichia coli. Its description in RNAcentral is "partial 23S ribosomal RNA". It matches the Rfam family "Bacterial large subunit ribosomal RNA", at positions 363 to 2531 of the family's 2925-position model. The record is from RNAcentral. Lineage: Bacteria; Pseudomonadati; Pseudomonadota; Gammaproteobacteria; Enterobacterales; Enterobacteriaceae.
GGUGACAGCCCCGUACACAAAAAUGCACAUGCUGUGAGCUCGAUGAGUAGGGCGGGACACGUGGUAUCCUGUCUGAAUAUGGGGGGACCAUCCUCCAAGGCUAAAUACUCCUGACUGACCGAUAGUGAACCAGUACCGUGAGGGAAAGGCGAAAAGAACCCCGGCGAGGGGAGUGAAAAAGAACCUGAAACCGUGUACGUACAAGCAGUGGGAGCACGCUUAGGCGUGUGACUGCGUACCUUUUGUAUAAUGGGUCAGCGACUUAUAUUCUGUAGCAAGGUUAACCGAAUAGGGGAGCCGAAGGGAAACCGAGUCUUAACUGGGCGUUAAGUUGCAGGGUAUAGACCCGAAACCCGGUGAUCUAGCCAUGGGCAGGUUGAAGGUUGGGUAACACUAACUGGAGGACCGAACCGACUAAUGUUGAAAAAUUAGCGGAUGACUUGUGGCUGGGGGUGAAAGGCCAAUCAAACCGGGAGAUAGCUGGUUCUCCCCGAAAGCUAUUUAGGUAGCGCCUCGUGAAUUCAUCUCCGGGGGUAGAGCACUGUUUCGGCAAGGGGGUCAUCCCGACUUACCAACCCGAUGCAAACUGCGAAUACCGGAGAAUGUUAUCACGGGAGACACACGGCGGGUGCUAACGUCCGUCGUGAAGAGGGAAACAACCCAGACCGCCAGCUAAGGUCCCAAAGUCAUGGUUAAGUGGGAAACGAUGUGGGAAGGCCCAGACAGCCAGGAUGUUGGCUUAGAAGCAGCCAUCAUUUAAAGAAAGCGUAAUAGCUCACUGGUCGAGUCGGCCUGCGCGGAAGAUGUAACGGGGCUAAACCAUGCACCGAAGCUGCGGCAGCGACGCUUAUGCGUUGUUGGGUAGGGGAGCGUUCUGUAAGCCUGCGAAGGUGUGCUGUGAGGCAUGCUGGAGGUAUCAGAAGUGCGAAUGCUGACAUAAGUAACGAUAAAGCGGGUGAAAAGCCCGCUCGCCGGAAGACCAAGGGUUCCUGUCCAACGUUAAUCGGGGCAGGGUGAGUCGACCCCUAAGGCGAGGCCGAAAGGCGUAGUCGAUGGGAAACAGGUUAAUAUUCCUGUACUUGGUGUUACUGCGAAGGGGGGACGGAGAAGGCUAUGUUGGCCGGGCGACGGUUGUCCCGGUUUAAGCGUGUAGGCUGGUUUUCCAGGCAAAUCCGGAAAAUCAAGGCUGAGGCGUGAUGACGAGGCACUACGGUGCUGAAGCAACAAAUGCCCUGCUUCCAGGAAAAGCCUCUAAGCAUCAGGUAACAUCAAAUCGUACCCCAAACCGACACAGGUGGUCAGGUAGAGAAUACCAAGGCGCUUGAGAGAACUCGGGUGAAGGAACUAGGCAAAAUGGUGCCGUAACUUCGGGAGAAGGCACGCUGAUAUGUAGGUGAAGUCCCUCGCGGAUGGAGCUGAAAUCAGUCGAAGAUACCAGCUGGCUGCAACUGUUUAUUAAAAACACAGCACUGUGCAAACACGAAAGUGGACGUAUACGGUGUGACGCCUGCCCGGUGCCGGAAGGUUAAUUGAUGGGGUCAGCGCAAGCGAAGCUCUUGAUCGAAGCCCCGGUAAACGGCGGCCGUAACUAUAACGGUCCUAAGGUAGCGAAAUUCCUUGUCGGGUAAGUUCCGACCUGCACGAAUGGCGUAAUGAUGGCCAGGCUGUCUCCACCCGAGACUCAGUGAAAUUGAACUCGCUGUGAAGAUGCAGUGUACCCGCGGCAAGACGGAAAGACCCCGUGAACCUUUACUAUAGCUUGACACUGAACAUUGAGCCUUGAUGUGUAGGAUAGGUGGGAGGCUUUGAAGUGUGGACGCCAGUCUGCAUGGAGCCGACCUUGAAAUACCACCCUUUAAUGUUUGAUGUUCUAACGUUGACCCGUAAUCCGGGUUGCGGACAGUGUCUGGUGGGUAGUUUGACUGGGGCGGUCUCCUCCUAAAGAGUAACGGAGGAGCACGAAGGUUGGCUAAUCCUGGUCGGACAUCAGGAGGUUAGUGCAAUGGCAUAAGCCAGCUUGACUGCGAGCGUGACGGCGCGAGCAGGUGCGAAAGCAGGUCAUAGUGAUCCGGUGGUUCUGAAUGGAAGGGCCAUCGCUCAACGGAUAAAAGGUACUCCGGGGAUAACAGGCUGAUACCGCCCAAGAGUUCAUAUCGACGGCGGUGUUUGGCACCUCGAUG